Molecule: ribosomal RNA, 670 nt
Filed under: Nessorhamphus danae
Lineage: Eukaryota; Metazoa; Chordata; Actinopteri; Anguilliformes; Derichthyidae
Description: 12S rRNA
Rfam family: Bacterial small subunit ribosomal RNA
Source: RNAcentral
GAGCUGGCAUCAGGCACACACUAAAGGUGGCCCAAAACGCCUUGCUUAGCCACACCCCAAGGGAAUUCAGCAGUGAUAAAUAUUAAGCCAUGAGCGAAAGCUUGACUUAAUUAAGGCUAAACAGAGCCGGUAAAACUCGUGCCAGCCACCGCGGUUAUACGAGGGGCUCAAAUUGAUAUCCUUCGGCGUAAAGUGUGAUUACAGAACAAUAAAAACUAAAGCUAAACACCUCCUGAGCUGUCAUACGCUAACGGAGACAGAAACCCCACAACGAAAGUAGCUUUAACAACUCUUGAACUCACGACCAUUAAGAAACAAACUGGGAUUAGAUACCCCACUAUGCUUAAUCGUAAACAACGAUGAUAAUAUACAAAUACCAUCCGCCAGGGGACUACGAGCACUACCUUAAAACCCAAAGGACUUGGCGGUGCCUCAAACCCACCUAGAGGAGCCUGUUCUAUAACCGAUAAUCCCCGUUAAACCUCACCACUCCUUGUUAAUCCAGCCUAUAUACCGCCGUCGCCAGCUUACCUCAUGAGAGACUAACAGUAAGCCAAAUGGGUUAUACCCAACACGUCAGGUCGAGGUGUAGCGAAUGGAGUGGAAAGAAAUGGGCUACAUUUUCUGACUCAGAAUAUACGAAAAGUGCCAUGAAAAAGCACACCUGAAG